AGAGAAUUUCUUUUCAAAUUUAUGUAAUGAUGUAAAAAAUAAUGCCUUUGAAACAUAUUUCGAAGAUAUAUUGAGGUUUUUAUGGUAUAAUCGGAACACUUUCUUAAACCACUUCAUUAUCGACGAACUGGAAAAUUGUUUCAAGAAAAUAAACUUAUUACAUACUCAAGAGAUAAUGCUGGAGGAAACUACGAAAAAUAUAAGAUAAAUCAAGAAUUUUCGUUGCGAUUAUGAAUCAUCAUGUUCUAAAUUCAAAUGUGGAGAGCAAACUUUCAAGGAUAUCAAAAUAUGAAAGGCGUUGGUCAUUACAUGACUAUCUAUUACUAUUAUUAGAAAGAAUGGGAUCUUUUAGAUACCAUUUGAAGAUUUCCCAAGAUCCGCAUCGAUAAUACUCAAUCAUGGUUAUUUUGUAAUUCUUCUUAAACGACCUUGCAAAAUAAUAUGAAUUCAAGAUUUAUGGAGCAUUAAACAACACUAAAAUGCUGGGAAAUGAAAAAGGUGAUGUUUUAUACCGAUCAACAAUUGGAUUGAUCUCAACAUACAAAAUAGAAGAGGAUUUGAAAUUGUGGCUAGAAAGAUUAGAACAAUAUUUUGAAGCAAAUUAUGUAGAAAAUAAAAAAUGAUUGAUUGUGUGACUCUGUGACCUAGAAUUACUAAAAAACAAGACAUUUGAGGAACUGUACAGCAUCCUAUCAUAUCAAUUUCCAAAGGAAGUUUCAACUUUCAAGGAGAGAAUUGAAUUUAAAUUGCAAAUUUGGAGCAAAUCUUUGUUGCUGGAAUGUGCAAAAAACCAGUUUUGGAUUGAGUUUGUGAAGAGGACCACACAAAAAUGUUGGAGGAUAUCCUAGAAGUGAGUUUGAACAAGGACCUUAUCCAAUGGAGGGAAAUUGUCACAUGUUCACCAUUUGAAAUGGGAUCAACACAGUCCUAGAAGGAACAUCAAACACCAAGAAGCUGUGGAGAACAAAAAUGAUAGGGGGUCAAAACUAAAGAAGAUAGAAAAGUGUUAUCUGUUACCGAGGCACUUUCACCAACUUUAAAGAGAAGAAUUUCGGGUCGGAAGCGGUGUAUGACAUCAAUGUGUAUGAGUUACUGAGGCACUUUAACCAACUUUAAAGAGAAGAAUUUCGGGCCGGAAGCGGCGUUUUUAAUUUCGGUGUCUUCCGGAAAAUAUUGAGAGAGAAGUAUGGCAUCAAUGGUAGUGUAUAAUGGUGGAUUUCUCGGAAAUUUCUAUUCUUUGCCCUUCAAGAAUUGCAUUUUGCUGGUGUCUACGUGUAACACUGACGGUGAGAUUUUGCUGGUAUCUACGUGUAGUACUGGAUAAUCGCAUCGUUCUUAAUUUUCGAAUGAGUAAGAAGACAAUUUCAAGGUUGUUUUAUCGAUUAUCGCCCAGGAAAUCCCAUCCAAUUCAAAUAACCUUGACGAUGGCACACCAAGAAGCAAGAAUCACCAUCAAAAGAAUUUUUUUUCGUCUAAUUCAAUCAGUGAAUCAAGAAUGUUUUAACGUUGCGGUUAGAUCCUAACUUGCAAAAGAAUUUCAAACGACCUCUGGAUUCUUCUUGGAGGAAUCCACCAGCAAUAGAUUCUGUGGCGUUCCUUCGUAGGCGGAGCAGAAACAAGAAGCAAAGUUAACCUCCUCCGGCAGCAGCAGCAACAACGACGAAGAAGGAGUUUUGUACGACCGCAGAGGCCAGUUACGAAGUGGCCACCAGCAGCCUAAGGAGGCUUCGGGGAGUGCGCGUUUGUGUGAGAUCCAGGAUGAUGUGAAUGUAGCAGCGAUGUUUACCAAGGCAAACUUAUACAACACCCUGUUAUUCUUCACGGUAAGCUAAAUUAUUAAUUUCUUUCUAAAUUAAUUUAUAAAAAAAUUUAUUUUGAUUCGAAUUGAUAACGAUAACUUACUAAGGUUAACUUAUUUAAUGAAUACACCUACUCACUAAACAGAUAAGUCGCUAAUUGAUAUUGGCAUUUUAAUAUUUAUUUACAGAACAUUUAAAACCCAACCCAACUCCAAAAAUAUUUGUUUAACACUUUGCUUAUUAACACGGUAAUAAUAAUAUUAAUAGAAAAUUAGUCUUUGUUUGAAGAUUUUGAACAUUUUUUUCCUUUUGGGUUGAGAUUAAGUAAGCAAUGAUUUUAAAAGGAGUUAAAAAUGUCCAUUAAGAUAAAAAUCAAAUUUAAUUUUGAUGUGGUUACAUUAUUUUCGAUUUCAUAAUUUCAUAACUGGGCAAGAGUGUGUUAGUACUCGUUGAACCUUCGAUUCGACCGCAUAAAUCGGGGCGGUCAUGCUCUAUAUACUUUCGUUAUAAUUGCGUUAUGGAUCUUUUGUUGGCAAUAACAAACAGAGAUAAUAACUAAUACAUGGGUACCACGGAUGAAUGAAUUAAAUUUUUACUAAUAUCAAUGUUGGGAAAAACGGGAUUUUCGUUUUCAUCGCUCUAAAA
Molecule: non-coding RNA, 2444 nt
Organism: Onthophagus taurus
Lineage: Eukaryota; Metazoa; Arthropoda; Insecta; Coleoptera; Scarabaeidae
Source: RefSeq, a predicted model, not a curated record